This 616-nucleotide ribosomal RNA is filed under the name uncultured prokaryote. RNAcentral's name for it is "bacterial SSU rRNA". It matches the Rfam family "Bacterial small subunit ribosomal RNA", at positions 28 to 636 of the family's 1533-position model. The record is from RNAcentral.
GAUGAACGCUAGCGACAGGCCUAACACAUGCAAGUCGAGGGGUAGCACAGAAUAGCUUGCUAUUUGGGUGACGACCGGCGCACGGGUGAGUAACGCGUAUGCAACCUGCCUAUAAGGGGGGGAUAGCCUUUCGAAAGAAAGAUUAAUACCGCAUAAUACUAUUUACCUGCAUGGGUAGAUAGUUAAACUAAUUGGCUUAUAGAUGGGCAUGCGUUCCAUUAGAUAGUUGGUGAGGUAACGGCUCACCAAGUCAGCGAUGGAUAGGGGUUCUGAGAGGAAGGUCCCCCACACUGGUACUGAGACACGGACCAGACUCCUACGGGAGGCAGCAGUGAGGAAUAUUGGUCAAUGGGCGAGAGCCUGAACCAGCCAAGUCGCGUGAAGGAUGAAGGUCUUAUGGAUUGUAAACUUCUUUUAUAAGGGAAUAAAAAAGAUCACGUGUGGUCUAUUGCAUGUACCUUAUGAAUAAGCAUCGGCUAACUCCGUGCCAGCAGCCGCGGUAAUACGGAGGAUGCGAGCGUUAUCCGGAUUUAUUGNGUUUAAAGGGUGCGUAGGCGGNUUAUUAAGUCAGUGGUGAAAGUUUUCGGCUCANCCGGAAAAUUGCCAUUGAAACUGA